Molecule: ribosomal RNA, 80 nt
Filed under: Duganella sp. SG902
Lineage: Bacteria; Pseudomonadati; Pseudomonadota; Betaproteobacteria; Burkholderiales; Oxalobacteraceae
Description: partial 16S ribosomal RNA
Rfam family: Bacterial small subunit ribosomal RNA
Source: RNAcentral
AAACUAAAGAGUUUGAUCCUGGCUCAGAUUGAACGCUGGCGGCAUGCCUUACACAUGCAAGUCGAACGGCAGCACGGAGC